AGGGCAUGCUGUGGGAGGAACUGAAUGACAGAUUCGUCAUUCCUUAAGCAUGAGGAGGAAGGUUUUCAACCAGAAUGCUGAGUUCUUUGGGAGGUGAGCUCAGAGCUACAGGCCCCUACAUACCAGCUACCUGCCAGAGCUAGGAAUCCUCUCCAUCCUUUUUCUUUCACCACACAGCUGGCACGUGAAUCCUCGUGCAUUAGCUGUCUGGAGAACCUGAGUAACGAACAUGCUGGUACCAGGCCCAAACCUGAUGUUAUCCAAGCAGUGUGUUUCUGUGAAAGCAAUCAUUCCAAUUAAUUGAAUAAAAACAUCCUUCAGGGUGUCUGUCAGAGAAACACCUCUUGGCUCUCAGAGAGCAAAUUGGUCACUAUCCUGAUAAUACAGUGAAAGGUGCCAGUUGUUUUCUGUUUUAUUUUUUUUUUCCUCUAGAAAUGUAUCCGAUAUGGAGGGUGGAAUGAGACUGCAUGGAAGCAAAGAAUAAAGUGGAAAGCGCUAUUUAAGAAAGAGUUCCUGCCCACGUUGAACAGCCU
This 533-nucleotide long non-coding RNA is filed under the name Mus pahari (shrew mouse). RNAcentral describes it as "predicted gene 28083 (MGP_PahariEiJ_G0005935.1)". The record is from RNAcentral. Lineage: Eukaryota; Metazoa; Chordata; Mammalia; Rodentia; Muridae.